RNAcentral lists this long non-coding RNA (762 nucleotides) under Sus scrofa (pig). RNAcentral describes it as "lncRNA (ENSSSCG00035049305.1)". Lineage: Eukaryota; Metazoa; Chordata; Mammalia; Artiodactyla; Suidae. The record is from RNAcentral.
AAAACACAAAGCUGAGGGAGCCCUCAGUGACCUCAGACGUCAGUAUUGAAACAGAGGUGGGAGAUCUCCAGGUGACAAUGAAGAAACUCAAAAAGAUGUUUGGGAUACUGUUUUCUUGAUUUCCUUAAAGUGGACUGUCCCUGCAUUUUUGGGAGUGGAAAAAGAACUGAUGAGGAUGACAGCAAAUCCAUUGCCCAUAUGAGUGGGACCAGUUCCACAAGGUCAACCCAGAUGCAGAACGGUUGCGUGGUUAGAUCCAAAACAUCCCCGGCGUGGCCUUCAUUGUACGUGACUUGUUAGCUUCUUACCUAGAGUGGGGCAUCCUACAGAUGCUGUCGUGUGGAGAGUUACAGCAUGUAGAAUCUAAAUCUUACCCUGGGGUCCUUUUAGAAGGUCAGCUCUUUUUUGCUGUGUUUCAAUGAAAACGUUGUGCCCUCUGGUUAAAUACACCUGUUUUGUCCUGACAAAAGUCUUAGCGGAUAAAUGUUUUUAAAUUGGUUAAAAAAAUAAAAUCACAUGCUCAGAUCAAAGCUAUACAAGACAUUCACUGACAUUAUUAGAUUCAUACGGUUGCCAACUUUGUAGCUAAACUAUAACAUCUACUUCCAAUAUUCAAUACUAGAAAACUAGUCAAAGGGGGUGACCAUCCUUGCUUUGCUGUCAAUUAGCCUUGUGGUCUUGGACAUGUCACCAGCCAGGUUUGAUCCAUUUCCUCGUCUGUAAAACAAGCAGUUUGGCCUUUUGGGCCUGGGGCACUCUCAG